RNAcentral lists this long non-coding RNA (1375 nucleotides) under Vulpes vulpes (red fox). RNAcentral describes it as "lncRNA (ENSVVUG00000000133.1)". The record is from RNAcentral. Lineage: Eukaryota; Metazoa; Chordata; Mammalia; Carnivora; Canidae.
AGUGGGUCUGGAAACAACUAGAUGGGCAAAAGCCUUCGCAAGGAGCAUCUAUGCCGCAACCUGGUCCUUUCCCACACCCAUUAAAUCAAAUGCUCAUCAUUCCUCUACCUCCCAUGGGACACAAGAGGCAUAGUCCCUGGAGAAACUGAGCUGAAACAUUUUCAGGCCUGGAGACACCAAGUUCAAUAAAGGAUAAGGUACUAAAUGGAUGAACGUCUACAUACUGGACUGUGGGGCUUUGAGCCCUAUCUCCUCUUUCUCCCUCCAAAAGCUGGCAGAUGGUGGCAGACAGGUAAUUUGGAGAAAAUGAACAACACCAGAGGGCUUACCUGUGAUGACAUUUCAGGACUGCCUAACAGAAAGGUACUGUGGUAGCGUCCCUUUCCACCCCUGCCUGAAGCCAAUUCUCAUUUAUCCAACCCUAAGGAAGAACAUGAAGUCAACGGACUCACCAAACAUCUAACUUAGUAAAGACCUCAGCCCUCUCCCCCAGGCAAACCUCUUCCUCUUGGCAAUUUUGUCUGAUGUUCUCCAUCCAGAAGAGAGAAAAAAAAAAACAAAACUAGAAAAUGAUCAGAAAGAGAAGAGGCAGAGAGAGGAUUGGACAGUGUAGGGAGCUCACAGGCAAGAGAACUCUUCAAUAUCAUGAAGUGUCAACCACAUUUGUGUUUUGUUUAAAUUAGACUUAUUUGACUUUUUUGAGAAAGCAUCAGCAUCCAAAUCAUUCACUUGGUAGCAUAUCGGUGGCCUCCUAUACGACACACCAAGCGACACAUUGCCAGCAUGCAGAGAAGGCAUAGGCCUACAAGUGAUACUACUUAGUGUGGUACCUUAGACAAGUGAUUGAAUUUCCCUGUGACUUAGUUUUCUCAUCUGUAAAAUAGGUAUAGUUAUAGACUCGACCUCAAAGGCUGUGAUGAGAAUUAAACGAAUUGUUGUGUAUAAAUGUUGUGAGCAUAAUACCUGAACAUAAUUCCACCAGGCCCUUCACAAAGAAAAUGAUGCUUGGCUUGGCCUUUAAAAAAAUGAGCAGGAGUGUGAGGAGAAUGGAAAAGGGUUGAGAAGGUUGUCCUAGUAGAGAAGCCAGCAUAACAAUGGCACAGAAGUGAACAUACACACGAAUUGCUGGCUGAGGGAGGCUGCAGUGGGACAGAACCAGGAGGGGCUGCGGGAGCCCCGGGCCUCCUCUGCAGGCUCUGCUGGGAACGUGCGUGCAGGGAGGAGGCUGUCCAGGUGAUCCGUGGAGCUUCUGCUGCAGGAAGGAAGCCGUCCUUGACUGGGUAGAGAAAGAAUGGUCCUGGAAGAGAAGGGGGAGCAUCUCCCAUCUGCUGUCAUCAAUUCCCUCAGCAUCUGUUCCCAUUACUUCCCCAUGGUC